RNAcentral lists this unclassified non-coding RNA (336 nucleotides) under Hevea brasiliensis (rubber tree). Lineage: Eukaryota; Viridiplantae; Streptophyta; Magnoliopsida; Malpighiales; Euphorbiaceae. The record is from RNAcentral.
AGCGAAGCAACUAGUUUACUUGCGGUGCGAACGAAGAGAGCUAGUCAGGAGUCGAACAGAAGCAUGAGUUGAGUGGUGAGCUAAAGCAGGGUAGCGAAACUAGGAACGGAGUUGGCUUACCGCAUCUACAUGGAUCGGAUCAGUGGGGCUACGGUGUUCGUGGUUGCAGCUUAAAUAAAAUAGAAUAUUAAUCCCAGUAGUGCUUCUUGAAAGCCGGUAACCUGAGGUAUGGUUAAACUAUUAGCACCUCCGGUCAAUCUUAAACUCUUGAUUGCCCCGGAUUCCGGGCCAGAAAAUUGAGUCUCAUAUAUCCCUUUUAUCUUUUAUAUUCUCGGA